This 2827-nucleotide long non-coding RNA is filed under the name Homo sapiens (human). Its description in RNAcentral is "non-protein coding lnc-STXBP4-1:4". Lineage: Eukaryota; Metazoa; Chordata; Mammalia; Primates; Hominidae. The record is from RNAcentral.
AUUGUGUGGUCAGAUUCACUGCAUUUGAUGCUUUUUCAGGAUUUGUUUUUCCUGCUAGAAAUGCUAGAGUUGUCACAGAUGUGAUAUUUAUGUUUUCAUUGUCUGGGGAGGGCCAAGUUUCAUGACAGAGAAAGACUGGGGCCAAUUCUGUGAUUAUGGAUGUCAACUUAUCUCAGAGCAGUAUCAUUGGUUGAGCAGUCCUGCAGGACAUCUAAGUUUACCGUCUUUAUCUUGCCAUUGUCAAAGAUCCUGGACCUAUUUUUUUCUGCCUUGAAAACUUUUGUGCAGUAAAACCAGCAAUGGAUUUUAGCAGAGUUGAUGCAUCAUUAGGAUUUUCACAUUAACUCUUUGGACUUAGAGCCAUGUCUAAAGUGUCCUUCUUUUGGAUAUAGUGCCUGGUGCAGAACUCUACCACAAAACAUCAGGUGUGCCUCUGAAUAGUCUUUGCAAGAAGCACAAAAUCCUAGAAUUGAGGUGAAUUUGUAAGUUCCUCUAGUCCAACCACCUUUCAAAUGAAAGAAUCCUUCCAAAGCACCCCUGGCCAAUAGCUCAUCAAGAUUUUGCUUAGAUAUUCUUAUUGAGGGGGAACUUACUAACUCCUUUAAUUCUUAUUUUGCUUAAGGCUGAGUUUUUAAAACAUCUAACAUCAGCCAAGAUUAUUGAUUUAUCUAUAAGGAAUAAUCUGUGAAUUAACCUUCUGUAGCUUUUCCUUGCUGACCAGGGAAUACCUCCCCAUUGAAGCCUAGGCCAGAUUCCAGUCCGUUUUGACCAUACCCCAUCAUGGUAUUUUAGAGUACACCUGAAUAAGAUACAUGGUGCCAUGUACAUGGAAACUGACUGCUCUCAUGUUACGGGUUGAACUGUGUCCCCCCAAAAUUUGUAUGUUGAAGUCCUAAAAUUGGCACUGUUGCCAUAAGCCAGGGAACUACCUAGGAGAUGCUAGGAGAGAGGCCUAGAAUGGAACCCUCCCUCCCCCGCCCCUGGGGCCUUCAGAGGGAGCGGUGCCCAGCUGACACCUUGACCUUGGACUUCUAGCCUCCAAACUGUGAGACAAUACAUUUCUGUUGCUUAAGCCACUCAGUUAGUGUGCUUUAUUUUGGCAGUCUUAGCAAACUAAUACAUCCCCCAAUCCAGAACUGUCCUCCUUUGGAUAAUAAAAACAGCAAUAAUUAUAGUGUCAUUACCCUGAGUGACUGGUCCCACUGUUGGUCAUUCUUUGUAGAUGUGAGUUAUUGCCCUAUUGAGAUCAGAAGUCCUCUCACUUAGAGGCAUAUCUAAGACUUUUUUCUUGUGGAGGGAGCUCACUCAACUGUAGGUAAGGUUUGACUCAUCUGGGUUAGUAGUAAGAACAAACUUCCAAGUGGCACCAUCUUAAAGGUGCAAGCCCAUGUGGGCGAUGACCAGGUCUGGUAUAUUAAGAGGCUCUUGGUAGCACAUUAGAAACACCUGGAGAGAUUUUAAAAUUUACAAAGCCUAGCCAAACCCCAGACCCAUUAACCCUGACUCUCUGAGAAUAGGACCCUGGCACCUGUGUUUUAAGGAUUCUAGGUGAUUUCAAUGUGUAGCCAAGGUUCACUGCCAUAGCCUGUCCUGGAAUGCAGGUAACUAAAACUUCAGCAGAUUAUGAAAAACAAAAGUUACUUUCUUGGAUGCAUAUAUUCUUAUAGCCUCAAAACUGAAACUGCAAACUGAACAAUGCUGCAGUCAGAUACACACACAUAUUUCAACUGCAUAACUUCCUUUAAUAAUACUUUUAUUUUUCCAAAUUUGAAGACUGUCCCUAAGUCAUUUCUUCUAAAAGUUAGUAAUAAUCCCACCAACUCACAUUUACAUAGAAGUUACAGUUUAAAGUUUGCAUCUCGUAAUAACUUGGUGAGAUAGGGCAAGCAUUAUUUCUAAUUUGCAUAUGAGAAAAAACUAAGGCUCGGAUGAGUUAUGUGACUUCCCUGAGUCAUGUUAGAGUAACUAACUCCUGAUUUGUAAACUGAAGGUCCCAAAUCCUGGGAACUCCCUCAGCUCUGGGCAAGCCAGGACAGGUAGGUCACCCUGCACCUACACAAGGACUGAGCUGAGUUCUAGUUACCUGCUGUGAAGGACUGUAGAGGUUAUCUAAGCCAGCUCCUCCUUUUACUGGAAAAGGAAAAGACUGAGAUAAGUUUCCAAAACCCCUGCUGGAGCACCUUCUACUUCUAGAAAGAUGUUGAGGGGCUUCCAGGGCACAAAGGAAAGAGAAGUAACUGUGUCUCCUUCCCCAACCAUGUAUGUGAUACAUUCAUUCUCUAGGAUUGGAAAUUCCCAGAAAGCUGUGUCAGCAAUGAGAUUUGUUUCAUUGUUUUGCCUUGUUUUGUCAUUGAGUUGUUAUAGUUAAAGUUUAUUAUUUUUUAAUGCAGAAAAAAGUGACUUUUGGGGGAGUGCAGAGUUCUAUGAAUUUUUAACACAUGUCUAGUUAUUUGACCACAACCGUAAUCAAGAUACAGAACAGUUUUAUCAUUUCAAGUGCUCUCCUGCUAUGCUUUUAUAACACACCCUUCCCCACCCCAACUCCUGGCAAUUACUGCUCUAUUCUCCGUAACUGUAGUUUUGCCUUUUCGAGAAUAUCAUAUAAAUAAUCAUGUAUUAUGUAACAUUCUGAGACAGGCUUCUUUCACCCAGCAUAAUGCCUUUGAGAUUCAUCCAGAUCGUUGUGUGUAUCAGUAGUUUGUUUUUAUUACUGGGUUAUAGUUCAUUGUAUGGAUAUACCACAGUUUCUUUAGCCAUUCACCCACUGAAAGUCAUUUGGGUUGUUUCUAGGCUUUGGUGAUUAUGAAUAAAGCUGCUAUCAACAUCC